This 26-nucleotide non-coding RNA is filed under the name Cricetulus griseus (Chinese hamster). Lineage: Eukaryota; Metazoa; Chordata; Mammalia; Rodentia; Cricetidae. The record is from RNAcentral.
AAAUUUGAUUUGGACUCUGGUUGCAU